UACGAAGGGGGCGAGCGUUGUUCGGAAUCACUGGGCGUAAAGCGCACGUAGGCGGAUUGUUAAGUCAGGGGUGAAAUCCUGGAGCUCAACUCCAGAACUGCCUUUGAUACUGGCGAUCUUGAGUCCGGGAGAGGUGAGUGGAACUGCGAGUGUAGAGGUGAAAUUCGUAGAUAUUCGCAAGAACACCAGUGGCGAAGGCGGCUCACUGGCCCGGUACUGACGCUGAGGUGCGAAAGCGUGGGGAGCAAACAGG
This 253-nucleotide ribosomal RNA is filed under the name uncultured bacterium. RNAcentral describes it as "partial 16S ribosomal RNA". It matches the Rfam family "Bacterial small subunit ribosomal RNA", at positions 524 to 776 of the family's 1533-position model. The record is from RNAcentral.